RNAcentral lists this long non-coding RNA (1573 nucleotides) under Sorghum bicolor (sorghum). Its description in RNAcentral is "long non-coding RNA (SBIC_LNC012787)". Lineage: Eukaryota; Viridiplantae; Streptophyta; Magnoliopsida; Poales; Poaceae. The record is from RNAcentral.
AAGGAAUUAGAGCGCCGCUAAGUUAUCUAGAUUAGACCUUGAGGCAAUGCAUCUUAGUCAUUUAUCUUUAAAUUUGGUUUAGGUUUACUAUUAUUGUCAGUUUGCUACUAUUAUCGUCAGUUUGCUACUAGUCAGUUGUAAUAAAUGCCUCAAGAUUAAUAAAGAGUAUUAUUAUUAUUAUUAUGUCUUGUGUGUCUCUACUUUAUUCUUGUGCAAGAAAGCAAAAAACAAGUAUGGGGGAGAUCCCUCGACAUGCCAAACACACUUCGACUACACCACUCCACGAUUCAGGUACACACUCUGCACACUUUACACAUACACAUAUAUAUCUUGGAUUAUGCAGAAUAUUGUUUCCAACAUGAUAAAUUAACAAGCUUAAAAUGUUUCUAAAUAUGAUUAAUCUCACUCUGUGAUAUUUCCUGAAACUUGCACUUAUUGAAAAAAUCAUUUUAAAACCCUGUGUUGCUUAAGUCAGUGUGGAAUGUGAGAUGGUAAAGUAUGAGUUUCUUAUUCUUGAUAUCAUUGUUGCUUGGAGGAUUUAUUUCAAAAAUCUUCAAAAUUCUAGCUACCAUCCUCAGUGUUUUAUAUGCCUGAUAAAACUGAAAAUAUUAAUUAUGAUUAUAAAGGCUAUCUACUCUGUAUUGAGUUUGUUCAAAAUGAGUUAGACCCUUGUUGAGAGAUUUAUCAUGCUCCUAAGAUCAAGACAUUUAUUCAGAAAGAUUCACUCUUCCGAAGUAUAAUUGCAUCAGAGGCAUGGCCUAUGCAAUAAUAAAGAUAUUUCGAGGAAAUAAAAAGGAGCAAGUGCUCGAUAACCGCGCAGAAAAAAAUGGACAAGCGUCCAACAGUAGAAUUAGGGGUACCUCUCUAUCCACUUAAAAAAAAGAAGAAAAAGAAAGAAAAUGAUAGCCCAUGGUGCCUCUAAUAAGCAAUAUGCUAGCAAGAGUUGACAAAACUUUUAAUUUCCAAAGUCUUUGAUCUAAGAGUAUGACAUUCCCCUCCUCGGAUCCCGUUUUGAUCAGGCAAUAAAUACAAGGUAAGUAUGCUUGAGAAUUUUUUGCAAAUUAAAACAGCCUCAGUGAGAUAUAUAAAAGAUAUUGAGUGAUCUAAGAGAACCUAUGAGGAUAAAAAGUAUGCUAACUUUCUUUCAAAAAUAUACAAAAACUCCAAGUGACAGGAUUAAGAAGAAAGGAUCUUUAGUCUUAACCAUAUACUUCUUUGACUAUAGUACACAGUGGAUUUGAACACCCUACAAAUAUAAAAAAAUGUUUUACCUCAGAUAUUGUUCUUAACCAUCCUUUUCUCGAUGACGAGUAAAAGCCUAAGUAUGGGGGUAUUUGUUGACGGUUCUUAAGUAUCAAUUUUAAUUAUCAAAUAAACAAGAGAAAGGACCAAUAUGCAACCAACACCUAGAAUUAGGGUUUGAUCUGACAGAAUUCCACGAGUUUUGUUGUUUAUCUGUUUCUGCAGGGGGUUAUCAGGGAAUAAGGAAGAAAGGCCCACAUGUCGGGAUUACAUAGAGAUAACAACGCACCGCGCAAUUUUCUACCAUCUAGAAGACUCCAGAAGCCACGGG